AACGACGACGUGUGCGCGCAACGGUUGGGGUUGGCCAGUGUUGCACGAAACCUUGCCACUCGCGACGCGCGGCGGUUCGUCGACGGUGAUAGAGCCGCGGAAACACGGAUUUUUAACUCGCGCGGCCGCUUUCCCCGGGGCCCGUAUACCUCCUGUUAUCGUCGCGAUACCUGAGAGCCGCGAGCGAACGUGGCGCGCCGCAAACACCGUACACAUCGCGCUAUCGUCCUACGGACUCGGGAUUACGGUCGUCGAUCCUUAACCUCAAAAAUAAAUAAGACGACAUGUCGUUGAGAAAGGAUAGCAAGAGUAGUCUGUGUUGAAGAACGUGAUCGAGCUUUAAAGUGGAACGGUGAAGGUUUUGCACACAGGUGGGACAGCCGGAGGAUAAUAACACGAGUAUCAAGCGUGGAGUUAGUUUUUCGGCCUCGUCCAGGACACGGUUACGUGUCGUACGUUUCGUGGCCGCACGGUGAAGUGUGCUACUUUGAUAGGUAACAGGGUUCAGGUGUACGUUGACCCAGAAGUGAGUAGUGUUCGGGACGGAUAGCGACGGAAACGAAAGGUAGACCCUGGCACGAUGCAGACGCAGGGCGCUACGAGGGGACCGACUCACUUGGUUGCCCUUUAUGUGGCCACGGCGGGUCUCCAGGGUAAUGCUCUCGGCUCCGACGAGGAAGAGAUCACACUGUUGGUUUACGUGCUCAUCGACGUGCAACAGAACAGGGUGAUGGGAAGACAACAGUAUAUUGUACGACCGAUGGUAAUGGACGAAAGUUGUACGCCUGGAACCGGUAGCGACAAUCCGGCGAUUGCCGGAAGUAGUGGAGUCAUCAGCGAAGUAGCCUUAGCACACGCUCCGGCGUUAUCCGAAAGAAAUCUUCGAGAGCACGGAAUUCCUCUGGAGCAAGCUAUCGAGAAGUUUGAAGCAUGGUGGUCCGCCAUGUCGUGCGUGACGUCCGGUUCCGCACCACGUUUCGUCGUAGACGGUCAGGCGCCGAUGAGACAAUGCUUACAUCCAGAAGCCUGCAACAAAGACAUCAACCUGCCAGAACAUUAUACCCUCUUUCACGAUCUCCGGAAGGAAUUCGUUGCUUGCUACUCUACCCAUGGAGAGCUCUCGACAUUUGGAAUACAGGAGAUGAUGGAAUAUUUUGGCCUACCGUUAGAUACUGAGAACGAGUUCUAUGUGCAUGAAAUACAAGAUAUGAUCUGUGUAAUACAGAGGAUGAUAAAAGAUGGUCACGUCUUCCAAAAUCCUGAAACAGUUAAUAUUGUUUUAGAACCUGGUAUAUGCUCAAAAGAUGAAGAAGUUGACAAUGGCUGUGUAGUAAGAGCUAGAGGUCUUCCUUGGCAAUCAUCGGACCAGGACAUAGCAAAAUUUUUUCGUGGCCUAAAUGUUGCCAAGGGUGGUGUAGCUCUGUGUUUAAGUCCUAUGGGAAGACGUAACGGAGAAGCAUUAGUACGAUUUGUUAACAAAGAACAUAGAGACAUGGCGUUAAAAAGACACAAACACCAUAUGGGUGGAAGGUACAUAGAAGUAUACAAGGCAUCUGGAGAGGAUUUUGUUGGCGUUGCUGGAGGAACUAGCGGGGAAGCUCAUGCAUUUUUAUCUAGAGGAGCUCAAGUUAUCGUUAGAAUGAGAGGCUUGCCGUAUGACUGUGUUGCUAAACAAGUGUUGGACUUCUUCUUGUCAGGGCAAAAGCCCUGUCAUGUAUUGGAUGGAGAAGAUGGAGUUUUAUUUGUGAAGAAGCCGGAUGGUAGGGCAACUGGAGACGCGUUUGUUCUUUUUGCUAAAGAAGAAGACGCAGUGAAGGCCUUAAGUAAACACAGAGAUUGCAUUGGUAGCCGGUAUAUAGAACUUUUUCGAAGUACGAUUGCCGAGGUGCAACAGGUUUUGAAUAGAGCGAUCGAUCCGAAACAGAUUGUACUUCCAACGCCGCCUAUUCCACAACUUCCUCCCAUACUUCCACAACAUAUUAUCACCUCUGGCACGCGUAAAGAUUGCGUUAGAUUACGCGGCCUUCCAUACGAAGCUCUUGUUGAACACAUUCUCGAGUUCAUGGGCGAACAUUCUAAGAAUAUCGUUUACCAGGGUGUUCAUAUGGUUUACAAUGCUCAAGGUCAACCAUCCGGCGAAGCGUUUAUUCAAAUGGACAGCGAAAAUUCGGCAUAUGCAUGCGCGUCGCAGCGACAUCAUCGGUAUAUGAUAUACGGCAAGAAACAGCGAUACAUCGAAGUAUUCCAGUGCAGUGGAGAUGACAUGAAUCUGGUAUUGACAGGUGCAGUAACUCCAGCGUCAACCAAGGCUCUGCUAUCACCCGGUACGUUGACCACACAAACUCCUGCAACUUUGACACAUCCGCCUCCGCCGACGCCGGUACCGGUACCGGUACCGACGGCGCAACCCCCCCUCUGGGACAUUCACGCGUUAGUACAGGCUCAAGCCCAAGCACAAGCGCAGGCUCAAGCGCAAGCUCAAGCUCAGGCUCAAGCGCAGGCAAUCCGAAAUCAAGACUUUUGGCUAAUGGCUCUAGCCUCGAAUCCACCACCUACCUCUACCACUCCUGCUUCCCCAACUUCGUCAGCUACGACUAAGACGCUCGCUCUACCGGGACCGAAUCCGCAGCAUCAGAUUCCUGCCUAUGCAAUGGCACCUCCCUCGGCAGCCGCUGCCGCCGCGGCUGCUGCGGCGCUUCACGCUCAACAACCCGCGCCGGCGCCCUUCUUACUUUUUAACGUACCCUCUCGAAUCCCUAUUUUACGUGCACCGGCACCGCAUGGUCUCCUGACACCUAUCGUUCAGGCUGCGCCCAUUAAUCCGGCCGCUAUAAUGGGACUGAAGAGAACUUGGGAAACCGCUUUCCCACCCGAUACAUCAAGCACAGUCGCGAAACGUGCCACGUGGCACACACCAGCGACCGCAUUUCACGCGCAAGCUCCUACCGCGGCACCGGGCUUGCCUUAUCCUGCUCAAUUUUAUCCUCAGAUUUGAUAGGUUAAGCCGCUAGUAUCGACGAUAAUCGUUCUAAACACAGCUGGCGAACGAUGUGUCUUCUUCUUAAUGCAUCUCUCUUCUAUGUAUUUUUCUACAUUGUAGGUUGAAUUCGAAUAAGAAUCGAUCGGCCAAUAUGGACCAAUAAUUAUUCGUUCCUUCGUACGUUUCUCGUAGUCGUUGCAACGAGAGGUUGUGAUUUUGAGACAUUUAUUUGCCGCGCGAGUAACGGGCAAAUUUAUUCCAGUUGCGUCGUUACCGCGUGAAAGAGUGUUGUACGAUUACCACGAUGGACGAUUUAUUCUUCUACGAAUAUAUACGAUACAUGCUAUCGUGUCCAAGGCAACUAUUUACAGAUCACAUUCCGCAUGAUAUUCUGUGCAAACCCUUUUUUCAUAUUAUUGUGUUAUUUUAGUCAGUUAUUUUAGAGAUCGUUUGCCCUCGAACUAACGAUUUAUACAUAUAUAUUCCUUCAACUAAAGAUAUAAACAUAUAUAUUUAAUCAUUAUAUAUAUAUAUAUAUACACACACACACACAUAUGUUAUAUAUCUAUAUAUAUAAUCGUUUCAGAGAUGGUUUUUUUUUUGAUACUUAAUUGAGCAGCAGUACUUAGAGCGUUUUUCUUUAUGUUAUUUCCUUACACAACGUAUGAGUUUUUCGAUGGUCGCGUUACAUGGGCCAGAAUAUAUCGUUAGCAAGUGACUAUGUAUCUUUCUCUUUCUCUUUGUUAUACGUGUUCUUUGUACUUUAUAGAAGUUGUUCUUUCAAUUUGUCGUAUAUGACAUGUGCUUAGUAAAGUGCCUUAAAACGUGAAUCAUGAAUUAUGAACUAUUCGCCUUAGGACGUAAUUUCAUUUCGAAGAUUUCGGAAUUUAUAUGCGCAUGUAAAUAUAUACAGAUAAUAGAUUUAUAUAUAUAUUAACAGAAAUUGAAACAUAAACGCAGACAUAUACACACAUAUAUAUAUAUAGAUAUAUAUAUAAGAAUGAUUUAUAUAUUUUGCUAGAAAUAUUUUUAUUAGGGAUAUAAGUAAAUGGACAUUCCAUCCAAUGUUAUCGGUUUUUAAGCUCUAAUUCACGGAGAAUAGCUUCUUCUUUACGCGGCAUCUACUUUACGCACGUCCAUGUUUAGGAUAAAAAUUCUUUUCAUUUUCUUUCCAAGCAAGAGCCUGAAGUUACAUUGCAGUUUCACAUCAAAACGAUAUUAUUUCGAUUGCAAUUGCAAUGCGCGUGAGCUUCCUGAGCCAGUCGAUUCGACGUGACCGAUAAGAAAAGUCCCACGACGAGAUUCACAAAUCCAUUUCUAGCCCUCGCCACAUUCCUAAGAGAACUUGCUGUUCUCUGUGCCGCGUAGAGGACACUUCGAGCUCGAAACAGGAAAACCAAUCGAGGCAAUAUGCUCAGUCACGUUGCGCUUUUACGCGAACGUUCCUCGGUGGUGCAAAUACGUUCGUUGAUUGGAUUAGUUGUGUUAAACGUUACGAGAGUUUGGUGAAUGGUACAUAAAGCACGAAGAAGAAAAGAAUGUAUAUUAGAGAACGGUAGUGUUAUUGGCAUCAAUUGGUGGAACGAUUGGAGGAAAAGGCGUGACGAGGGGCCUGACAUCGAGCGUACGUGGAAAGCUCGCAUCCCGUAGAAAUAAACGACGACCGAUAUUUUUACUGCCAUUACGAAACAGCUUUUUUUCCAGAAUAGUUCAAGCGAUCGCGAAGCUCACCUUAGCCUUUCGUCCUUCGCUACUACUCUUUAUUAUGGUUUUUCUGUAUACUCGAUCUCGGUGUUACCGCGGAGCAACGUGAAGUGCUGUCCAGUGAUUACACAGAUUUUUCUUGCCACGUUUCUCUAUACGUUUUCUCCUUCUCUUUUUUUUUUUUUUGUCUAUUUUUUUACACGCACUCAUAUAUACAUAUACAGAUAAUGUAGAGCGUGAAUUAGCGAUUCUACGAAUCAUGGAAACGGCACGAGGCGCACACGACGAUCGUUCUUAUUGCUCCGAAGUAUAAAGUCCACGGGCAUAGAAAUGACUGGUUUGCAUGUCGUGGUUUUGUGGAGGGACGUGCAUACAAGUACCUGUAAUAUCCUUCUUCGUUACCUAUCGUUUACGAGACGACAGACUUACGUAACGGGUCGAGUUACUUUUUUCUGUUUUUUUCCCCCUAAUGCGUAAUUACGUACAUUAUAUAUUAGUCGGUUUUUUCUCUUCCCCUUCCAAAACUUUGCCUUCCUCUCCGACCCUUUCCAUAAUUGUCGCAUUCCUUUCCAUGUCAUAACGCACGUAGACUAUCUGAUAAUACAUCUUGUAACAGUUCCCUUCUCCCCCCCCUUCCCCCUUCCUCCCUCACCUCGUACGUCUAUUUAUACGUAAUCCUAUAUAAUUCUCGCACAACGCCUUCCUCUGUUUGAUAGGAUACGGUAGCGUAUUACGUAGAAUUGAGUAGUACCUUUGGUAUACACCUAGUCUUGUUUUGUUGUUACAAUUGCAGUGCAAAGUGUGUACGACAUUCGACGAAUACUUUGCAAGCUGGUUCGCACGUGUGUAAGCGAAUAGAGACUGUUUGUCCGUCGAAUAAAAACAUUGUCAAGUAUCGAUAUAGUGCCUGGAAUUGUAAAGAGACGAACGCGUACUUUGGUACUCGGGUCGUGCACAUUUUACAUUCCAAUCUUACCGAUGUAACUCGAGAAUCGGGAUAUAGUCUGCCGAUAUUAUUUAUGUCGGGCUUCCUGAGUCUGCUUUUAUAUAGCAUUGAUAGACAUCUUAGAGAUUUGAACGGUGUGACGCGAAACGGACCAAUCUGAUUUUACUUUCAGAGUUGUUUCUGUGGAUCUAAGGAUAUACAGAUGCAGUAAUUUAUAGAUCAGGGCAAUGAUAUUUGAUUUGGGGAGUCGACCGUGUCUAAAUUUCAUUGGUCGAUUUGAUCGUAAAAAUGAUUAACGAUAAGUUGAUACAGAGAUGUUCAAAUUCGUACUAAAAAGAAACGAAGAUUGGUUAUAAAUUCCAUCGGUUAGAAUUUUCUACAGAAUUUAUUAUUUCAAAUAGUAGAUGCAUCGCAGUCGUUGUUACGGAACAAGAAUCAUGACCUAUAUUAAUUGAUAAUAUCUUAGAAAAGAUCAGAAAUUCGCGUUUAUUCCAAACAGCCUCGAAUAAAAACGUGUCACGAUUUACGUCCCUUAGAUCCAUAGUCGUUUCCUCGACUUCUUACAUUUACGUAGUCUCCAUUUCGCGUCGCUACUGUGGAGGCGCAUCUUGGUGUGUUUUUAAAACGCGAAUAAUCAAGAAAUGUAUCCGUCGGAAGUGUCGAGAAGUUUCCAAGCUUAUCGCAUACUUAAAUCUUCCUUACGGUAUUAGUACAAUGUUUCGUUAA
RNA transcript from Bombus terrestris (buff-tailed bumblebee), 6356 nucleotides. It is a transcript of the gene named RNA-binding protein fusilli, with no coding region annotated. The transcript is spliced from 11 exons. The record is from RefSeq and is a predicted model, not a curated record. NCBI's taxonomy places the organism in Eukaryota, Metazoa, Arthropoda, Insecta, Hymenoptera, Apidae.